This 897-nucleotide ribosomal RNA is filed under the name uncultured bacterium. RNAcentral's name for it is "bacterial SSU rRNA". It matches the Rfam family "Bacterial small subunit ribosomal RNA", at positions 26 to 896 of the family's 1533-position model. The record is from RNAcentral.
AGAAUGAACGCUGGCGGCGUGCCUAACACAUGCAAGUCGAACGUGAAAGCGGGCUUCGGCCCGUUAGUAGAGUGGCAGACGGGUGAGUAACACGUGGGUAACCUGCCCGGAGGUGGGGGAUAACCCUUCGAAAGGAGGGCUAAUACCGCAUAAUAUCUCGAGCACUUCGGAGCACGAGAUCAAAGUCGGCCUCUUCUUGAAAGCUGACGCCACCGGAUGGACCCGCGCCCCAUUAGCUUGAUGGUGAGGUAAAGGCUCACCAUGGCGACGAUGGGUAGCCGGCCUGAGAGGGUGAUCGGCCACACUGGAACUGAGACACGGUCCAGACUCCUACGGGAGGCAGCAGUGAGGAAUUUUGCGCAAUGGGCGAAAGCCUGACGCAGCGACGUCGCGUGGAGGAUGAAGGUCUUCGGAUCGUAAACUCCUGUCAAGGGGGACGAAAGCCGGAGAGCUGAACAGGCUCAUCGGUUGACGGUACCUCUGGAGGAAGCCCCGGCUAACUCCGUGCCAGCAGCCGCGGUAAUACGGAGGGGGCCAGCGUUGUUCGGAAUCAUUGGGCGUAAAGGGCGCGUAGGCGGCUCUGUCAGUCGAAAGUGAAAUCCCACGGCUCAACCGUGGAACUGCUUUCGAUACUGCAGGGCUUGAGUCCCGGAGAGGGUAGCGGAAUUCCCAGUGUAGCGGUGAAAUGCGUAGAUACUGGGAGGAACACCCGUGGCGAAGGCGGCUACCUGGACGGGUACUGACGCUGAGGCGCGAAAGCAUGGGGAGCAAACAGGAUUAGAUACCCUGGUAGUCCAUGCUGUAAACGAUGAACACUUGGUGUUGCGGGUAUUGACCCCUGCAGUGCCGGAGCUAACGCAUUAAGUGUUCCGCCUGGGGAGUACGGUCGCAAGGCUG